AAAGGAGGCAGAGAAUGAGGUCUGCCAGUGAUUUUUUUUUAAAUGGCCGCAGUACCUUGACUGUGCUAAGGUAGCAUAAUCAAUUGGCUUCUAAUUAAAGUCUGGAAUGAAAGGAAAUAUGAAGUAAUUCUAUCUUAAAGGAUUUUUUUUGAAUUUAUUUAAAUGAUGAAAAUAUCAUUUUAUAGAAAAAAGACGAGAAGACCCUUAGAGUUUUGAUAUUUAUAUAUUUUUGUUGGGGCGACAGGUAAACAUAUAACUUUACGAAUUAUCAUUGAUCGAUUUUUUAUAAGAAUAAUAAAACUACCUUAGGGAUAACAGCAUUAUAUUUUUUUUUAUGAUUGUGACCUCGAUGUUGGACUAGGAACUUUAUGGCUAGCCGUCAAAAAAGAUUUGUUCUGUUCGAACAAUUUUAUCCUACGUGAUCUGG
RNAcentral lists this ribosomal RNA (427 nucleotides) under Biomphalaria straminea. Its description in RNAcentral is "partial 16S ribosomal RNA". It matches the Rfam family "Bacterial large subunit ribosomal RNA", at positions 1878 to 2608 of the family's 2925-position model. Lineage: Eukaryota; Metazoa; Mollusca; Gastropoda; Planorbidae. The record is from RNAcentral.